Molecule: long non-coding RNA, 5691 nt
Organism: Lates calcarifer (barramundi perch)
Lineage: Eukaryota; Metazoa; Chordata; Actinopteri; Centropomidae
Exons: 3
Source: RefSeq, a predicted model, not a curated record
ACCAGAGUCACAUGCUGGUUAUUAGGUGUCAGUUUGUUGUUUUUCUUUGUUGCCACCUUAGAAAAAAACCCAGCUCCCUCACUAGACAAUGUCUCUGCACUUCAAAACUAAAUCAUUUGUCAGAGUGCCACAGCAGGUGCUCUUUUGUUGGUACAUCAACAACAAAAAGCUUGGUAGUCAGCACAGGCAGAAGUGUGCAGUGUUUAAAUCAUAAAUACACUCUAACAGAGUGUGUUUUUUGUUUAUUCCCUUUUGGGAUAGCUAAAGGCUGUGUGACGAGGGGGCUCAUGACAAAGACCUCAUUGCUUCUUCAAAUCCCCGACUCUCUGGUCAUCCACCAGCUGCAACCACUGAGGCUGUCAGGACGCCCUGGAGCAAGGCACUUUACUGUUUAACUACAGAAACAUUAGUUGCAGCGGAGCAGUCAAAUCUAUUGAGAACAAUGUGGGUGUACUGUGUGGUUCUUUGAAGGUUUAAAGCAGCUGUUCACAGACUUAAAACUUUAAUGAAUGAUCUCAUUAUUCAUUUCUUGUAAGGACCCAAGAAUUCUGUUUAAAGUUGUAAAUCUGUCUCUGUCCUUGCCGCUAUUUGACCAAUACUAAACCAGAAAGGGUGGCUCUCUUCAUGGAAGAUAGUGAGGGUUUCUAACUAAAAACCGACCAGAAAUGUGACCCCAUGCACAAUGAGGCCCAGAAGUGUGGUGACAGACUUUUGGAUCCCACUGUAUCCUCAUUUCAAUGCCAUAAAUAUUAAUUUCUAGAUUAUUUUUUGUAUUGUUUUAUGAGGGCUUAUUUUGAAGAUAGUGUAGUUUAAAUUUCUUAGCAAGCGUUUAAUAAUGAGUUGGCAAAAAGUAAUUUGAGGAGAGGUUAACAAAGUAAAGUUUGGCAGAAACUGAUAUAAAUCUACCUGUCAGGUAAGUCCCACGUUCUCAUAUCAUACUGUGGUUACUAAGGGCUUACCCAUUUGCUUAUAAAAACGUUAAAAGCAUCAACAACCUGGACGCCCACGCAAAAUGAAGAGAGCGGAAAUGGAAGCACGUUUUAAAACAACCGGGGAUGGGUCACUGAAAACUUUAACUCUACAGUUCCGAAGAGUAACAGCAUCCGAGUUAGAAAUGUGGUAGCUACAGUGGCUAUAACCCCGGGGUCUCGGGAUGAAAGGAGUGAUCUUCAAGGCCAGCUUUCAUUCAUUCUGAACUAGUUGGCCAGUCGCUCCAGCCUGCGCUAACAGCGUUGGCCACAACUACACUCUCUUUAGCUUGUUAGCGUGCGAGCCACCUAGCUGCGGUACUUAACUGACGUUAACACGGCGGUAAAUGUUUGGAUGUGAACAGACACGACGGUUCCGACAGCUUCGGCUAACCUCACUAAGUCACUGGAAAGAUGGCUAAGCUAGCUAGCGACACGGUCGGCGGCGAUAAGAGACAGCCGCUACGGUGUGACCGCGGCGUUUGUCAACCAGCCGGGAGUAAGAUGAUGACAUCCUUCCCAGCGUCUGCUGAUGCACCAUAAACCUGCUGUAUAUUAGUCAUUGCUCAAUCAUCCUUGACCUCAUUUACUGCAGUUGAAUCAUUAAUUCACUCUUAAUGACAGCACUGCAGCAGCUAUGUUUCCCAGAUCCUCUGCACUCAUACUGCAAGAGCUGUAUUUUACAUGUAGGCUACUGUAGUGAUAUGUGAACACAAUCAUUCGGCUCUUAUCAAGAAUAUUUUAGUUUUUUUAUUUUCAAAUUACAGACCCAUUUUAAAAUGUGACAGCUUAAAAGAAUGUUUUAUGGAUUGUUUUGCAACAACAGAUGUACUGAUGGGUGACAAAAUAAAGGAAAAACAGACGCCCUGUGUUUUAUUAAUGUGUUAAGACCCCACCAGCCACUAGAUCAGCUUCAGUGCUCCUUUGCUUGUUGGAGAAAUGAAACUUAACUUUUCAACAUAAUUCCUCAUUUGGUGUUUUGAUUAUUCAAAUAAGCUGAAGAAACGCCCUGAUCAGCAGCCUGUAACGGAGAUAGUCUGCAUUUUGCUUGCAUUUUUAAAGAGGAACUCAGGGCUACCCAAGAGGCUCUGUUUUCUUGUCAUAGAGAGUACUUCUUAGCCCAGUGAAAAAGUUAUAUGAGACCUUUUGUGGUUCUGGAUUGAGCUUUCCAAAGUAGGAAAAAAUAACCCUGAUGAUGUUGUCAGGGUUAUUUGGGUCUCAAGGCUUAACGUUUUAAUAGAAAGCCUAGGUUAACAAACUGUAGAUGGGGGGUUUUAAAAAUAAGGCCAUUUAGGAGACAAGGGUCUACUGAAAGCUGCUUCUGAGUUGCAGUAUGGGAAAUGUAGGAUCCAACAUUUUUUAUCUUGACUGAUGCUACGAUAAAAAUUAGGUUAUCCCUGAGCAUUCAUUUUUAAUCUGGCCUUUGUGAGUUCCCCAACUUUAUGGAAGCACAAUACACCCCAGUUCUAAUUUCAGUUGGCAUGCCACCCCAAAAUGACCUUUAGCACAGCAUUGUUCUGAAAAAUGUUGCUGAUAACAAUACACUUUUCUGUUUUUGACCAUAUAUAAUCAAGAUUACAUGACUGAACAGUUUGUUCAUUGAUAAAAAGACUGAAUUUUAUUUAAUUAAAAUAUCCCAACUUCUCUCCGGAGCACCUAAUAGAAUAAACGCAUCAGAGCGGUGGUCAACCUUUCUCAACAUAAAAAACCCCCAACAACAUCAUGUUUUUGAUUAAACCAUGAUUUAUUAUUCCUAAUAUUAGAUGUAGAUACACAAGUCAACAAACAUUAUUUUCGAUUUGUAAUGAAAAUGCUCCACAGCACACUGACAUCGUGUGGAAGGGUCUGGUAUUACAGACACGUACCUGAAAAUGGACAGCAGUUAUAAUUUUUGCAAUAAGUUGCAUUAGUAACAGUAGUAGUAAUAGUAACAACAGUAGCAAUAAUGAUAAUAAUAGCAAUUAAUAAUAGUGGUGGUAUUAACAACUCUGAAUUACAGAGGAAGGAACAGACAUUCGUCAAAAGUAAUGAGAAAUGAAGGUAGUCGGACAGGCUUAUCAAAUGCUGCAAGACAGACCACUAGAUGAAAAAAUACAAGCUCCCUCUAGACAGCAAAUAUCCUGCCUUCUUCUAAAAAAGGAAGCUCAAAUAUUCAUCAGUCUGUUUCACUCAUAUCUAAUACUCAACAAGUAAAAGUUUUUUUUUUUCUUCAUUACGUACUCCAUUGUCACAAGUACUCUCAUAACAAAAAACCCAUCUCUUUGACAUCAAUAACACAUACUUUCUAUGUUCUGGUCAAAGCUCACCAGUAGCACAAAGUUAUUUUAAAAGGAUGCAUUAUGCAACAUCGAAUCACAGCCAGCUGAGGACAUUUCCACAAGACUGGAUUGCCAGGGUCAUUCUGCAUUAAAUAUACAGUACAGUAUCAAUGUGUGAGUGUGUUGAAAGAGAGAGAGCUCGUGUACAGUAUGUCAAGUAUGAGAAAUAUUUUUGCUUCACAUGACCAAUUUGGCCAAACUAAUUUGAAUCAUCACACAUUCAAAUGAGCUGAUAAGAAAAUACACUGUGUGACCUUUAUACUUGAACUCCCUAACAUCGACUGGAUGCUGUGCCUGAUGUCCAGGGCAGAGAAAAGGUAGCAAUAGUCACUAAAACAGCUCGUCCACUGGGGAAGAAAAAGAAUGACACCUCCAUUUAAAAUUGUGCACAAUGUAUGUUAACUGUGUCGGCUCACUUAUGUAUGCAAUGACCCUAUUAACCUGGUUAGCCUUUAGGUUGAGGCUGCUUAAUCUAGGCUGAAACUAGGAGUUCUGUCACAUCCCCAGGAUGCAAAGUCCCACUGACAGAGACAAGGCAAGUUUGAUAAAGUUUGGAGCGGUUGCUUUUAAAUGAACCCAGUUCAAUAGUCUCAAAGUGGAUCUUCAGAUACUUUGGAGAAUGUCUGAUUUGAGCAGUGGUUCCACAUUCAUCUGGGACUGGAAAAUAAGGCCAACUUGUUUAAACUGCAACCAAAUGCAAGUUUACUUCCAGCUGUUUGUGUUACCACAACAGUUUGGUGUGACAUUCCUGCAAACUAGUCAGCCCUCUAAGGCAUGGUACACACAUCCAGUACCAGCUUUAAAGAGUUACUUUCAAGAGUCCUGGUCAAUAUGAUAAAUUACAAAUAAUUGAUUACCUGCAACCUACCUAUAAGAUAAUCCAUGAAACUCUUGAAUUCAGAUUUCUUGUCCAGUAACUUCCUGCUGCAUUUUGGCAGUUACUAAAGGCAAAUUAACACUUGAGUUUAAGUGACUGACUAUAGUAAGAGUUACCAACCAAUCCAAUGGCCUCAAUAUAUUUAUAUAAAAUUGCGCUACUGCCUACAAUCUCAGAAUAUACUGUUAAUGUCCUUUUCUUUUCAAACAUGUACAGUAUUUGAGGAAAUUAAUGAACAUAUAUCUUUUAAAAAUUAUAUUAACUAUAUUAGAUUGCCAUUAUCUUGUUUUAGAUAAUUGUUAACGCCAAUUACAUAUAUUAGUUGCUCUCCAACCCUGAAUAUGAAGUGGUCUCAUGUUUUCAGAGUACAUCGACACAGAAGAGAACAGAUGAGGAGACACAUACAAGUAUAAACCUACAUGAAGUCAUGCCACAUACGCAAGAGCACAAAGCUCGUCUAAGAGAGAAUUUUCCCUCUCUGUCACCGCCAGUGAGCAGAGCUUUCCAUGGUUUCUGUUAAUUCAUAUUGUACCUGCAAACAUAAUCCACUGACAUACAUUAGAUCAUUGCCACAGGGCACAUUUUAAACAUUCUUAUCCUUGUACUACAAAAGCCUCCUUUAAGAUUGUUUGAAUGGAAGGUGGGUUUGUAAAAAGGGUUGUGUGUGUCUGUUGUGGGUUCAAGUAAGGCUCAGUACACCUCUCUGUCAGGUAGCACAUAAAGCGCAUCCUUCACUACCUCUUCAAUCUCACUUCCACACCCCUCACUUCACCUGUAAUGAGACCUGUCAGCUGUCCAUCUGUCCUGCUCACGUGUGCUUCAGCUUUUUAUCUACAAACUGCUCCACGCCUUCACAUCAGGAGGUGGAGAGAGAACAGAAAUUGCUAUUAGAAGACUGGAACAGAAAUAAUGAAACCGUCUUGAGGAACUUCAUUGGUAACAUCAUCUUACAUAUAAUAAAAACCAAAAGCAAAGAAAAGCUAAUUUUACCAAAUCAUUCCAGUAAUAUUACUUUGAGUCUGUGUCUGGUUUUCGUCUGCAUUUGCGUACCGAAAAGCAGCAUCCACCUGGCCACGUCUGAUUAUGAAUUACACAAACGUGCAAAAUCCACAGCACCACAACUCACACACACACGCACACACACGCACACACUCUAGAAAACUAAUCUUCUCUGCUUUGUACAGAAAAAAAGAACGUUGAAAAUUAAGCAGGAAAGAUCACGCAAAAGAAAUAAUCAAGUACAGGCAAAAUAAAAAAUAAAACCACUUAUUUAUAUAUAUAUAUAUAUAUAUAUAUAUAUAUAUAUAUAUGUGUGUGUGUGUGUGUGUGUGUGUGUGUGUGUGUGUGUGUGUAUAAAAUUUUAAAAUUAAAAGUUAAUAAAAUUUUCCCAAUGAAACUUGUGAUCACUUACUGCACACUAUUAAAAUUUAAAGAGCUUUAUUUUUUUCUCAAAACACUCAAUUAACUGUCUUUCCUAAACAAAAAAAAGAAGAGAGAAACAAAAUAAUACAUACAAGGGCAAGCCCAA